RNAcentral lists this ribosomal RNA (300 nucleotides) under uncultured Paracoccaceae bacterium. RNAcentral's name for it is "bacterial SSU rRNA". It matches the Rfam family "Bacterial small subunit ribosomal RNA", at positions 114 to 432 of the family's 1533-position model. The record is from RNAcentral. Lineage: Bacteria; Pseudomonadati; Pseudomonadota; Alphaproteobacteria; Rhodobacterales; Paracoccaceae.
CGCGUGGGAACAUACCCAGAGGUACGGAACAACAGUUAGAAAUGACUGCUAAUACCGUAUACGCCCUACGGGGGAAAGAAUUUCGCCUUUGGAUUGGCCCGCGUUGGAUUAGAUAGUUGGUGGGGUAACGGCCUACCAAGUCUACGAUCCAUAGCUGGUUUGAGAGGAUGAUCAGCCACACUGGGACUGAGACACGGCCCAGACUCCUACGGGAGGCAGCAGUGGGGAAUCUUAGACAAUGGGCGCAAGCCUGAUCUAGCCAUACCGCGUGAGUGAUGAAGGCCUUAGGGUCGUAAAGCU